CCGAUGGAGGGGGAUAACUACUGGGAACGGUAGCUAAUACCGCAUAACGUCGCAAGACCAAAGAGGGGGACCUUCGGGCCUCUUGCCAUCGGAUGUGCCCAGAUGGGAUUAGCUAGUAGGUGGGGUAACGGCUCACCUAGGCGACGAUCCCUAGCUGGUCUGAGAGGAUGACCAGCCACACUGGAACUGAGACACGGUCCAG
This 202-nucleotide ribosomal RNA is filed under the name uncultured bacterium. RNAcentral describes it as "partial 16S ribosomal RNA". It matches the Rfam family "Bacterial small subunit ribosomal RNA", at positions 130 to 334 of the family's 1533-position model. The record is from RNAcentral.